AGCGAACGCUGGCGGCAGGCUUAACACAUGCAAGUCGAGCGCCCGUAGCAAUACGGGAGCGGCAGACGGGAGAGUAACACGUGGGAACGUACCCUUUGGUUCGGAACAACACAGGGAAACUUGUGCUAAUACCGGAUAAGCCCUUACGGGGAAAGAUUUAUCGCCGAAGGAUCGGCCCGCGUCUGAUUAGCUAGUUGGUGGGGUAAUGGCCUACCAAGGCGACGAUCAGUAGCUGGCCUGAGAGGAUGAUCAGCCACACUGGGACUGAGACACGGCCCAGACUCCUACGGGAGGCAGCAGUGGGGAAUCUUGCGCAAUGGGCGAAAGCCUGACGCAGCGACGCCGCGUGCGGGAAGAAGGCCUCGGUUGUAA
Molecule: ribosomal RNA, 372 nt
Filed under: uncultured bacterium
Lineage: Bacteria
Description: bacterial SSU rRNA
Rfam family: Bacterial small subunit ribosomal RNA
Source: RNAcentral